Molecule: small nuclear RNA, 114 nt
Filed under: Salmo salar (Atlantic salmon)
Lineage: Eukaryota; Metazoa; Chordata; Actinopteri; Salmoniformes; Salmonidae
Description: U5 spliceosomal RNA (ENSSSAG00000114800.1)
Rfam family: U5 spliceosomal RNA
About the family: U5 RNA is a component of both types of known spliceosome.
Source: RNAcentral
CGACUCUGGUUUCUCUUCAUUACGCUAAACUUUCGCCUUUUACUAAAGACUUCCGUGGAGAGGAACACUUACAGUUCAACGUAUUUUUGGAAGGGCUUUGCUUCUGGCAGAGCC